AACGAACGCUGGCGGCAGGCUUAACACAUGCAAGUCGAACGGGAUCUUCGGAUCUAGUGGCAGACGGGUGAGGAACACGUGGGAACAUCCCUUUCAGUUCGGAAUAACGUUGGGAAACUAACGCUAAUACCGGAUACGUCCUUCGGGAGAAAGAUUUAUCGCUGAAAGAUUGGCCCGCGUCUGAUUAGCUAGUUGGUGAGGUAAUGGCUCACCAAGGCUACGAUCAGUAGCUGAUCUGAGAGGAUGAUCAGCCACAUUGGGACUGAUACACGGCCCAAACUCCUACGGGAGGCAGCAGUGGGAAUAUUGGACAAUGGGCGCAAGCCUGAUCCAGCCAUGCCGCGUGAGUGAUGACGGCCUUCGGGUUGUAAAGCUCUUUUGUCCGGGAAGAUAAUGACUGUACCGGAAGAAUAAGCCCCGGCAAACUUCGUGCCAGCAGCCGCAGUAA
Molecule: ribosomal RNA, 448 nt
Filed under: uncultured bacterium
Lineage: Bacteria
Description: partial 16S ribosomal RNA
Rfam family: Bacterial small subunit ribosomal RNA
Source: RNAcentral